This 271-nucleotide ribosomal RNA is filed under the name uncultured bacterium. RNAcentral describes it as "partial 16S ribosomal RNA". It matches the Rfam family "Bacterial small subunit ribosomal RNA", at positions 524 to 794 of the family's 1533-position model. The record is from RNAcentral.
UACGGAGGGUGCAAGCGUUAUUCGGAAUUACUGGGCGUAAAGCGCGUGUAGGCGGGAAGGUAAGUCUGAUGUGAAAGCCCUGGGCUCAACCCAGGAAGUGCAUUGGAAACUGUCAGACUUGAAUACGGGAGAGGGUAGUGGAAUUCCUAGUGUAGGAGUGAAAUCCGUAGAUAUUAGGAGGAACACCGGUGGCGAAGGCGGCUACCUGGACCGAUAUUGACGCUGAGACGCGAAAGCGUGGGUAGCAAACAGGAUUAGAAACCCGGGUAGU